Molecule: non-coding RNA, 727 nt
Organism: Pelobates cultripes (western spadefoot toad)
Lineage: Eukaryota; Metazoa; Chordata; Amphibia; Anura; Pelobatidae
Source: the annotation of a GenBank genome assembly
ACCAGCUGCAGUGAAUAUAGCUUUGGAGAUCUCUCCUGAAGAGAAGUGAUUAUAGCUUUACUCCAACACAUUAGACAAGUUAAUAUGUAGAGGAAGAAUGAUUUUUAUUGAACAGAACACAGCUAUUUACACACAGAAUUGUUGACUCGGUCUGAAGGCGGCUCCCUGCUGUGCCCUCAUAGUCAGAGGCACAGCACACACAAUGUGCAUCAUAACCCCUUUUCCUGGAUUAUACACCCACACGAUAUAUAUCCAUGGAAAGCUUGUCACCAAAUGUCCUUGCUGUCCAAAUAGCGGCCUAAUAGAAGAUUCUGUAUUCAAAUUACAGAGUGUUAAAGGAUUACCCGGUAGUGGCAAUUCUCCGAUCCAGUGAGUAGUUUCAGGCGUGCGGCGGCUUAGUCAUGGUCUUCUAAAAAAGGUUCCAGGACCUCUGAGGAGGGGAGCAGUUUCAAGGCCCAGGUAUCUUCUAACAUUCCACUCUAUUUUGAGGAUGGGGGUACCACGACGUACCAACUUAAAGACUGACCGGAGCUCAGCACAGUACUGUAUCUCCCGGUCAGCUGCUCGAUUUGUCAAGCAAGUCCAGGCAAUCCACAGAGGUCCUAGAAAGUGUGAAGCACAGUAAGUGUCCUGGGCCGCCAUACUCCUCCACACAGUGAUAAUAGCCACUUUCUAGGGGCUCUUGGGACCAGACCCCUAGUCCGUGGGAAGGAGACUAUCCUUCAAG